GAUGAACGCUAGCGGCAGGCUUAAUACAUGCAAGUCAAGGGGGUAGCAAUACAACCGGCGCACGGGUGAGUAACGCGUACACAACAUACCAUAUACUGGGGUAUAGCUUCGGGAAACUGGAGAUAAUCCCCCAUAACAUUGCGAGAGGGCAUCUGAUUGCAAUUAAAGUUUCGACGGUAUAUGAUUGGUGUGCGUUUGAUUAGCUUGUUGGUAGGGUAACGGCCUACCAAGGCGACGAUCAAUAGCUGGCGUGAGAGCGCGACCAGCCACACUGGAACUGAGACACGGUCCAGACUCCUACGGGAGGCAGCAGUAGGGAAUAUUGGACAAUGGGCGAAAGCCUGAUCCAGCCAUGCCGCGUGAUAGAUGAAGGCCCUCUGGGUUGUAAAUAUCUUUUAUCUGGGAAGAAACUCCUCUAUUCUUAGAGGCCUGACGGUACCAGAGGAAUAAGCACCGGCUAACUCCGUGCCAGCAGCCGCGGUAAAGUAUCG
This 491-nucleotide ribosomal RNA is filed under the name uncultured bacterium. Its description in RNAcentral is "bacterial SSU rRNA". It matches the Rfam family "Bacterial small subunit ribosomal RNA", at positions 28 to 527 of the family's 1533-position model. The record is from RNAcentral.